RNAcentral lists this ribosomal RNA (367 nucleotides) under uncultured organism. Its description in RNAcentral is "bacterial LSU rRNA". It matches the Rfam family "Bacterial large subunit ribosomal RNA", at positions 2099 to 2465 of the family's 2925-position model. The record is from RNAcentral.
CUUUACUGUAGCUUUACAUUGGACUUUGAACAGACCUGUGUAGGAUAGGUGGGAGGCUUUGAAGCGGUGCCGCUAGGUAUCGUGGAGCCAACGUUGAAAUACCACCCUGGUGUGUUUGAGGUUCUAACCUUGGCCCGUGAUCCGGGUUGGGGACAGUGUAUGGUAGGCAGUUUGACUGGGGCGGUCUCCUCCCAAAGCGUAACGGAGGAGUUCGAAGGUACGCUAGGCACGGUCGGAAAUCGUGCUGAUAGUGCAUAGGCAUAAGCGUGCUUGACUGCGAGACUGACAAGUCGAGCAGGUACGAAAGUAGGACUAAGUGAUCCGGUGGUUCUGUAUGGAAGGGCCAUCGCUCAACGGAUAAAAGGUA